AAGCACUCUGAAGUUUUUCGAUAACAACGUCAACGAAAGUGAUCACGAAUUAUCUUUUCAUUUAAUUUCCGAUAGUCACAACACAAUCGUUUUUUCCCAUUCUUUUUCGAAACAAGCACCACUGGUGAUGCGUAUUCUGACACACUCGGCUUUAUAAUCUUGUCUCGCAAGCAUUCCUGAACUUGAUCAUCCACAAUCUUUUGUUCACACUGUGCCAAACGUCUUGGUUGUUGGAAUACUGGUUGUCGCGGAUCGAAUAUUGUUAUCGAUAGUUAGUAUUUUUGAGAAGUCCGAAUGUGGAAGGAUUUGUAAGCCCAUAUGUGUCUGGGCACAUUGUUUUUCGCCAUUGUAAAUUGCCGGGAAAAUUUAGCUUUUCAUUGUCGUGUAAGAGUUGGAGGACACACUGCGGUGAGCUAAUAAGUUAAGUUAGUUGCAAUUGUAAAACAUUGAAUUCUUCCAGAAUAAAACGUGUUCUACUACCACGGAUUAGUCUGCCCUUUCUUUCGGGAACCAAUGUGUGGGGUAGCCGUUUAAGGCAACUCCAAGUGACGCACGACGACAAUCUUUUAUUCGCAGUCCUAGGGCGACUGCAGGGGCAACUUGCGCUGGAAUGACGGUUUAGACGGCCAGCUAGAGGGUUGCCGGAGCUGGAGUGACGGUUUAGACGGCCAGCCAGGAUUUGUGUGAGCGCAGCCAGCGCUACGUACCGGCAGAGAAGUCGCAGCCAGCGACAGUGGCGUCGCAGUCAGCGACAUAGAGGGACGCAGCCAGCGUCGAACGCCGGUACGAACGAGUCGCAGCCAGCGACAAGGAGACGCAAGAAGCGUCAUUUGUGGAGACCGCAGCCAGCGGUCAGAAGGCGCAAGGAGGGCCAAGCAUCCGUGGCCGCAGCCAGCGGCACGAGCGUCAGAGACGCCAUUUUGGACGCGCAGAGGCGCCGCCAUUUUGGAGCUGGGGAAGAUGCAGCAUUCCCCCAGGAGGAGUGCCCGGCUGAACGGAGGGGAAGCCACCCCUAUAACAACAGUGAGUCAGCAGCCAGCCAGUAAUGGAGCAGGAACUCGGACGCGGGCGAACAUCACGGCGGCGUCGAUUCCUUGCCCGGCCACUACGGUGAGUACUACAGUAGCUUCCCAACCUAGAAGUACUGCUGUCACAGUUGCGAGUUCAGUACCGGAGGUGAACCAGCCCCUCGUGUUGGAACUCAUGGAGAGGAUUGUAGCGUUGGAGAGGGAGCUGGAGAAGGCUAGAUCCCUGGAAAGUGUGAGCACCGCCAAUUGCGCGCCGAUCGCAGUUGGCCCAAGCGCAGUUGGCGCCAACAGUGGAGCGUCGGGGCGGCCGCCAUUUUGGAGCGGCCAGCCAAUACCCACAUCUAACGGAGAGACCUUACAUAACGGGGUCGGGUCGGUGCCAUACAACGGUGACGGUGCGAGCGGUGCGGCCUGCACGCUGCCGCCAUCUUCGAGUGGACCGCCAUUGCUAACGACUAGCAACUAUUUUGUGGAGCCACUGUGUGCAACAGGCACUGCGCAGCCAGCGCAUGGACUCGUGCUACCGGGCGUGAGCAUCCACAAUGCGGCAACAGCAUCGCCACUUGUCGGAUCCUACGCCGCGACGACGCCGAGUGGAAUCCAGGGAGCAUAUGGGCCAUGGAAGCUUCCGGACUUUCCUAUAUUUGGAGGGCAGCCCGAGGAGUGGCCGAUCUUCAGCUGUGCGUUCGUGGAGACGACCCGAGCGUACAACUGCACGGACCUGGAGAACAACCAGAGGUUGUUGAAGGCGCUGAAGGACGAAGCGCGCGAGGCAGUGAAGGCGCCAUUGAUUCACCCAGGGAAUGUCAGCGCCGUGAUGGAGCAGCUGCGCUUUAGGUUCGGCCGACCGGAGCAGCUUAUACGCAGCCAGCUCAACAACGUGCGAGAGGUGCAGCCAAUUUCGGAGCACAAUUUGGCGAAGAUCAUUCCCUUCGCAACCCGAGUGAGUAACCUCGCGGCCUUCUUGCAGUCAGCGAAGGCGGAUCAACACCUGGGGAACCCAACCCUCAUGGAGGAGCUUGUGGCCAAGCUGCCAACGAGCAAGCGAGUGGACUGGGCCAGGCAUGCUGCAACGAUUGCGCCCUUUCCCACUGUAGUCCACUUCAGCGCGUGGUUACAGGAGUACGCGAACGUGGUGUGCACGGUUUUGGACGUCGAGGGAAAGGAGCCGAGGCGUCGACUUCUACAUGCAAGCGUCGACCAUAAUGAAUGCGAUCAACAGGAAGAUCGGCAUGGAGGUUGUCCCAUCUGUGGAGGACAGCAUGGAAUAUUGAAUUGCAGAAAAUUUAUUGGAGCUUCGCCACAGGUAAGGUGGAACAAUGUGAAGAGGCAUCGGCUCUGCUUCAAUUGCCUGCCAAACGGACACACGGCUAGAUCCUGCUAUACACAAGGUGAGUGCCAGAUUAAUGGAUGCCGAAGGAAGCAUCACCGUCUGCUACAUGGUGCGGACGAGGAGCGAAGGCCGCUGCAGCGGGGUGGCUUCAGACGCCACGAAGGGAACCAGCAGCCAGCAAUUUCCAGACGCAGCCCGGCCUGGAGGCCUUCGCUACGAGACGGUCAAAGGGACCAGGAGAGGAACCGGCAGCCAGCCGUUCCCAGCAACAGCCUGGAGAGAGGAGCUCCGCGUGAAGCGGGAGCGCCCAUGCAGAGGAAUUUGAGCUGCGUUGACGAAGGAGGCCAUCUACUGUUCCGUAUACUGCCGGUUACGCUGUACGGAGCGGGGCGAAAGGUGGAUACGUAUGCGCUCCUAGAUGAGGGAUCCUCCGUCACGAUGAUCGAUGACGAACUACGAAGGGAUCUUGGAGUGCAAGGAGAGCGUCGGCAGCUAAAUAUCCAAUGGUUUGGAGGUAAGGCAACCAGAGAGCCUACCAACGUGGUGUGUCUGAAGAUAAGUGGAGUUGGAAAGCCCACUCGCCAUGUAUUGAGAAACGUUUAUGCCGUUUCGAGUUUGAGUUUGCCGAUGCAGACAUUGAGCCAACGAGAUGUCCAGGGCGUGCACAGGGAUGCGCGUCUGCCGAUGAAGCCUUACAGCAACGUGGUGCCGAAGCUGCUCAUCGGCCUGGAUCACGGACAUCUGGGGUUGCCACUUAGGACGAGGCGGUUCGCUCGAGAGGGACUGUAUGCGGCCGCAACCGAGCUGGGCUGGGUUGUGUUUGGGCCUGUAAGUGGGCAACCGACCACGCCGUCACCGAGGUCCUGCCUACUUGCCGUGUCAGUGGAUGAAGCGAUGGAGAAGAUGGUGGAGGACUAUUUCGACAUGGUGAACUUUGGAGUGAAGACCGCGCCGCCGGUCGCAGCCAGCGACGAUGUUCGGGCCCAAAGGAUACUCGAAGACACCACGGUGAAAGUGGGGCGUCGCUACCAGACGGGAUUACUCUGGAAGGACGAUCACGUUGUGCUGCCACCGAGCUAUGAGAUGGCGUACAGGAGGCUGGUCAACGUCGAGAAGAAGAUGAAGCGCAACAAGACGUUGGCGCAGGAAUACGAUCGGAUUAUAAAGGAUUACGUGUCUAAAGGAUACGCGAGGAGGCUGCAGCCGGAGGAGGUCGCGGUAAGGAGCGAUCGCCUAUGGUAUUUGCCACAUUUUGGUGUCGAAAACCCAAAAAAGCCCGGCAAGGUACGGCUUGUGUUUGAUGCUGCAGCCAAAGUUGGAGGAACCUCGCUAAACUCGGAGCUGGACAAAGGGCCUCAGCACUAUAAGCCUUUGCCAGCUGUGCUCUUUCAUUUCAGAGAGGGAGCCGUCGGAGUCUGCGGUGACAUCAAGGAGAUGUUCCACCAAGUGCUGAUCCGACCCGAGGAUAGAUGUUCCCAACGAUUCCUCUGGAGAGAUGGCGACGACGAGAGAGAUCCGGAUGUCUAUGAGAUGAACGUAAUGACGUUUGGAGCAGCCUGCUCGCCGAGCGCUGCGCAUUACGUGAAGACUAUGAAUGCCCUGAAGUUUCGGGAUUCGGAUCCGAGAGCGGUCAAGGCCAUCACCGACUACCAUUAUGUCGAUGACUAUGUGGACAGUUUCGCUACAGAGAGCGAGGCUAUCAGCGUAUCUACCCGAGUGAAGGAGAUACACAAGGAUGCUGGAUUUGAAUUAUGCCAGUUUUCAUCCAGCUCACCCACCGUGGAGACGGCUUUAGGACCUGGUCAAGUCAAGAGCGUCGGAUGGGGUGAGGCUGAAGAGAAGAUCCUCGGAAUGCGUUGGCAAGUAGCAACAGAUGACUUCAGAUUCAACGUGGAGUAUCAUCGAGUGCCAAGCAGCGUCCUGAGUAGAGAUGGAGUCCCUACGAAGAGGGAAUAUUUAAGCCUGGUGAUGUCAACGUUUGAUCCCCUGGGAUUCCUGUGCUGCCUCAUGGUUACAGCGAAGCUGCUGCUGCAAGAGAUUUGGAGGCAGAAGAUCCAGUGGGACGAACCACUACCGGAGGAGUUAAGCAAAGCCUUUGCGAAUUGGCGCAAAGAGAUGGACGCCGUGGGACAGUUCCGAUGUACGCGCCAUUAUUUUGGGCGUGGAGCAGUCCGGGCCGUAGAGUUGCACGUCUUCGUGCAUGCUAGUCAGGCAGCAUUCGCGGCGGUGGCCUAUUGGAGGGUCACAUAUGAGGACGACGACGUGCAGGUGAGCUUCGUGAGUGCAAAGACGAAGUGUGCCCCAAUGAGAACGAUGACGAUCCCACGGCUGGAGCUACAGGCAGCAGUUCUUGGAACCAGGCUGAUGAACACUGUCAAGGAGGAGCACAGUGUGGUCAUCACGGACCUGGUGUUAUGGACGGACUCUAAGACGGUGCUGAGAUGGAUCGGCAACACCCACCCCCGGUAUAAGCAGUUUGUUGGCAACCGAGUGGCGGAGAUUUUGGAGUCGUCGAAGAAUUCCCAAUGGAGAUGGGUGCCUACAGCCGACAAUGCGGCUGAUGAUGCGACGCGGUCGCAGAAAGGAGUCGACCUUAGCCAGGAAUCAAGGUGGCUAAGAGGACCUGCAUUUUUGAGGCAGCCAGCAGCCAGCUGGCCGGGGCCUGAGGAAGGAACUGAGCGUGUUCCAGAUGCCCCUGAUGAAGAAGAGAUGCCCAGUGAGUUUGCAUUAGUUGCGGCAGACGAUUUUGUUAUUCCGUUUCAGAGAUUCUCGAGCUUCAGUCGCCUGCUGAGGACCGCAGCCUGGGUCCUACAGUUUGCGCGCUGGUGCCGCAAACAGCGAAACGAGCUCGAGGAAUACGGCCUUACUGCAGCAGAAUGUAAGGCCGCGGAGAACCUGUUGGUCAGACAGGCACAAUUGGAGUCGUUCCCCGACAAGAUGAGGUCGGCGGAAACCGGACAGGAUGUCGGUAGAUCAAGCGACAUUCGAGAGUUGGUGCCCUACCUAGACGAGGAUGGGAUUCUGCGAGCUUACGGCAGAAUUGAUGCCGCACUGUGCAUGCCGUACAGUGCGAGGAGGCCCGUAUUACUGCCACACAGGCACAGUAUGACAGAGCUGAUUGUGAGAGACUUCCACGCCAGGAUGAAGCAUCAAAAUGUGGAUGGGGCUACGAUUGCGGAGAUCCGGACAAAGUUCUGGGUCACAAAGAUGAGGCGUGUGAUGCGGAGAGUCAUCUCAUUGUGCGAGUGCAAGUUGCAGCGAGCGCGGCCGAUGCCGCCGAUAAUGGGACCCCAUCCGGAAGACAGACUGGAUGCGAGUGGAUGGCCAUUCAAAUACACAGGACUGGACUACUUUGGGCCACUGCUGGUGACUGUGUCCCGUCACAAGGAGAAGCGUUGGGUCGCCUUGUUUACGUGUUUGACGACAAGGGCGAUUCACCUGGAGCUGGCGCAUGACCUCUCGACGGAUUCCUGCAUAAUUGCGAUCAGGAACUUCGUCUGCCAUAGAGGGCCAGUAUAUAGACUGCGCAGCGAUAACGGCAAGAACUUCGUGGGAGCUGACAGGGAAGCCAGGCGCUUUGGUGACGAGAGAUGGACGAGAUGGAGAAGCUUCAGAGUGAGUUGUCAAGCAGAAGCAUUGAAUGGGUUUUUAAUUGUCCAGCGAACCCGUCUGAGGGCGGAGUUUAGGAGCGCCUGGUGCAGUGCGUCAAGAGAGUACUGCGUCAUACCCUGAAGGAAGUUGCGCCGAGGGACCAUGUAUUGGAGAGUUUCCUGAUUGAGGCGGAGAAUAUUGUAAACUCGCGUCCGCUCACCCACUUGCCUGUGGAACGGAACAGGAGGCGCCGUUGACGCCAAACGAUCUACUCAAGCCAAUCUGACGGAUACGCCUGGAUUGGAUGCGGAGCUGCCCAAGGAGGGUUCUACGAGGAAGCAGUGGAGGAUUGCUCGCCUGCUACGAGACCGUUUCUGGAGGAGGUGGGUCAUGGAGUACCUGCCUACGCUUGUGCGCCGCGAGAAGUGGUGCCGCCGAACGGAGCCCAUCCACCAGGGUGGUCUUCGUCUGCGAUCCUGCUUUGGCCCGACGAGAGUGGCGCAAGGGCAUCGUGGAGGAGAUCUACAGCGGAGCUGAUGGAGUCGUCAGACGCGCUAAGGUGCGCGUGAACGACAACGGCCUAUCUAGGACAAUGAUGCGACCCGUCUCUAAACUUGCAGUUUUUGAUUUGAGUGAAGCGGUUCUUCACGGGGUCGGGAAUGUCGCGGAUCGAAUAUUGUUAUCGAUAGGCUAGUUAGUAUUUUUGAGAAGUCCGAAUGUGGAAGGAUUUGUAAGCCCAUAUGUGUCUGGGCACAUUGUUUUUCGCCAUUGUAAAUUGCCGGGAAAAUUUAGCUUUUCAUUGUCGUGUAAGAGUUGGAGGACACACUGCGAAUAAAACGUGUUCUACUACCACGGAUUAGUCUGCCCUUUCUUUCGGGAACCAAUGUGUGGGGUAGCCGUUUAAGGCAACUCCAAGUGACGCAC
Molecule: RNA transcript, 6876 nt
Organism: Drosophila sechellia
Lineage: Eukaryota; Metazoa; Arthropoda; Insecta; Diptera; Drosophilidae
Exons: 2
Source: RefSeq, a predicted model, not a curated record